Acinonyx jubatus (cheetah) is the source of this 232-nucleotide long non-coding RNA. RefSeq lists it as uncharacterized. The transcript has 3 exons. NCBI's taxonomy places the organism in Eukaryota, Metazoa, Chordata, Mammalia, Carnivora, Felidae. The record is from RefSeq and is a predicted model, not a curated record.
GGCACAGUUCUGGAAGCUAAGGAAACAGCACUAUGAAUGGAGGUCAGUCAACCAUGCAGCUUCACCAUGAUAUGUUUCAAUGCCAGACUGAUGAUUCUUUGGAUGCUGAGACUGACUUCCAGAACCUCUUCCUGCGAAAUGACUGAUUGAUGUCACUGUCCUGUAUCCAGGGAUUUUCUCAGCAAAUGCAUCCAAGGUGUGAAAUGGAGGCCAGCUGUCCAUCUGUCAUAAG